This 425-nucleotide ribosomal RNA is filed under the name uncultured bacterium. RNAcentral describes it as "partial 16S ribosomal RNA". It matches the Rfam family "Bacterial small subunit ribosomal RNA", at positions 354 to 796 of the family's 1533-position model. The record is from RNAcentral.
GUGGGGAAUCUUGCGCAAUGGGCGAAAGCCUGACGCAGCCAUGCCGCGUGAAUGAUGAAGGUCUUAGGAUUGUAAAAUUCUUUCACCGGGGACGAUAAUGACGGUACCCGGAGAAGAAGCUCCGGCUAACUUCGUGCCAGCAGCCGCGGUAAUACGAAGGGGGCUAGCGUUGCUCGGAAUUACUGGGCGUAAAGGGCGCGUAGGCGGACAGCUUAGUCAGAGGUGAAAGCCCAGGGCUCAACCUUGGAAUUGCCUUUGAUACUGGCUGUCUUGAGUUUGGGAGAGGUGAGUGGAACUCCGAGUGUAGAGGUGAAAUUCGUAGAUAUUCGCAAGAACACCGGUGGCGAAGGCGGCCAACUGGUCCAUUACUGACGCUGAGGUGCGAAAGCGUGGGGAGCAAACAGGAUUAGAUACCCUAGUAGUCC